GGCCUUGCGCUAACAGAUGAGCCCAAGUCGGAUUAGCUAGUUGGUAGGGUAAUGGCCUACCAAGGCGACGAUCCGUAACUGGUCUGAGAGGACGACCAGUCACACCGGAACUGAGACAUGGUCCGGACUCCUACGGGAGGCAGCAGUGGGGAAUAUUGGACAAUGGGGGCAACCCUGAUCCAGCGACGCCGCGUGGGUGAAGAAGGCCUGCGGGUUGUAAAGCCCUUUCGGUUGGGAAGAAAAGUUGCGACCUAACACGUUGCGACCUUGACGUAACCAACUAAAGAAGCACCGGCUAACUCUGUGCCAGCAGCCGCGGUAAUACAGAGGGUGCGAGCGUUAAUCGGAAUUACUGGGCGUAAAGCGCGCGUAGGCGGCUUUUCAAGUCGAUUGUGAAAUCCCCGGGCUUAACCUGGGAACUGCAGUCGAGACUGUCUAGCUAGAGUAUGGGAGAGGGAAGUGGAAUUUCAGGUGUAGCGGUGAAAUGCGUAGAUAUCUGAAGGAACAUCAGUGGCGAAAGCGACUUCCUGGACCAAUACUGACGCUCAUGUGCGAAAGCGUGGGGAGCAAACAGGAUUAGAUACCCUGGUAGUCCACGCCAUAAACGAUGAGAACUGGAUGUCGGAGGGGUCUGCCCUUCGGUGUCGUAGCUAACGCGUUAAGUUCUCCGCCUGGGGAGUACGGCCGCAAGGUUGAAACUCAAGGGAAUUGACGGGGACCCGCACAAGCGGUGGAGCAUGUGGUUUAAUUCGAUGCAACGCGAAGAACCUUACCUGGUCUUGACAUCCUAGGAACCUCGCAGAGAUGUGGGGGUGCCUUCGGGAACCUGGAGACAGGUGCUGCAUGGCUGUCGUCAGCUCGUGUCGUGAGAUGUUGGGUUAAGUCCCGCAACGAGCGCAACCCUUGCCCUUAGUUGCCAGCAUUAAGUUGGGAACUCUAAGGGGACCGCCGGUGACAAACCGGAGGAAGGUGGGGAUGACGUCAAGUCAUCAUGGCCCUUAUGACCAGGGCUACACACGUGCUACAAUGGCCAGUACAAAGGGUUGCCAACCCGCGAGGGGGAGCCAAUCCCAGAAAGCUGGUCGUAGUCCGGAUCGCAGUCUGCAACUCGGCUGCGUGAAGUCGGAAUCGCUAGUAAUCGUGAAUCAGCGAUGUCACGGUGAAUACGUUCCCGGGUCUUGUACACACCGCCCGUCACACCAUGGGAGUUGAUUGCACCAGAAGUAGGUAGCCUAACCGCAAGGAGGGCGCUUACCACGGUGUGGUCAAUGACUGGGGUGAAGUCGUAACAAGGUA
Molecule: ribosomal RNA, 1296 nt
Filed under: metagenome
Description: bacterial SSU rRNA
Rfam family: Bacterial small subunit ribosomal RNA
Source: RNAcentral